GACGAACGCUGGCGGCGUGCCUAAUACAUGCAAGUCGAACGAGAGCGACCGGUGCUUGCACUGGUCAAUCUAGUGGCGAACGGGUGAGUAACACGUGGGUAACCUGCCCAUCAGAGGGGGAUAACAUCCGGAAACGGAUGCUAAAACCGCAUAGGUCUUCGAACCGCAUGGUUUGAAGAGGAAAAGAGGCGCAAGCUUCUGCUGAUGGAUGGAACCGCGGUGCAUUAGCUAGUUGGUGAGGUAACGGCUCACCAAGGCCGUGAUGCAUAGCCGACCUGAGAGGGUGAUCGGCCACAUUGGGACUGAGACACGGCCCAAACUCCUACGGGAGGCAGCAGUAGGGAAUCUUCCGCAAUGGACGCAAGUCUGACGGAGCAACGCCGCGUGAGUGAAGAAGGUUUUCGGAUCGUAAAACUCUGUUGUUAGAGAAGAACAAGUGCUAGAGUAACUGUUAGCGCCUUGACGGUAGCUAACCAGAAAGCCACGGCUAACUACGUG
RNAcentral lists this ribosomal RNA (498 nucleotides) under uncultured bacterium. RNAcentral describes it as "partial 16S ribosomal RNA". It matches the Rfam family "Bacterial small subunit ribosomal RNA", at positions 28 to 507 of the family's 1533-position model. The record is from RNAcentral.